RNAcentral lists this ribosomal RNA (379 nucleotides) under uncultured bacterium. RNAcentral's name for it is "bacterial SSU rRNA". It matches the Rfam family "Bacterial small subunit ribosomal RNA", at positions 28 to 408 of the family's 1533-position model. The record is from RNAcentral.
GACGAACGCUGGCGGCGUGCUUAACACAUGCAAGUCGAGCGGUAAGGCCCUUUCGGGGGUACACGAGCGGCGAACGGGUGAGUAACACGUGGGUGACCUGCCCUUAGCUCUGGGAUAAGCCUGGGAAACUGGGUCUAAUACCGGAUAUGACUCCAUGACGCAUGUUGUGGGGUGAAAGCCUUGUGCGGCUAGGGAUGGGCCCGCGGCCUAUCAGCUUGUUGGUGGGGUGANGGCCUACCAAGGCGACGACGGGUAGCCGGCCUGAGAGGGCGACCGGCCACGACUGGGACUGAGACACGGCCCAGACUCCUACGGGAGGCAGCAGUGGGGAAUCUUGCGCAAUGGGCGAAAGCCUGACGCAGCGACGCCGCGUGAGGGA